Molecule: ribosomal RNA, 529 nt
Filed under: Shewanella sp. HM6-40
Lineage: Bacteria; Pseudomonadati; Pseudomonadota; Gammaproteobacteria; Alteromonadales; Shewanellaceae
Also listed under: 1 other name
Description: bacterial SSU rRNA
Rfam family: Bacterial small subunit ribosomal RNA
Source: RNAcentral
GGCUCAGAUUGAACGCUGGCGGCAGGCCUAACACAUGCAAGUCGAGCGGAAACAGGAGAGUAGCUUGCUACUUUCGCUGUCGAGCGGCGGACGGGUGAGUAAUGCCUAGAUAUCUGCCUAGUCGUGGGGGAUAACAGUUGGAAACGACUGCUAAUACCGCAUACGCCCUACGGGGGAAAGGAGGGGACCUUCGGGCCUUUCGCGAUUAGAUGAGUCUAGGUGGGAUUAGCUAGUAGGUGAGGUAAUGGCUCACCUAGGCGACGAUCCCUAGCUGUUCUGAGAGGAUGAUCAGCCACACUGGGACUGAGACACGGCCCAGACUCCUACGGGAGGCAGCAGUGGGGAAUAUUGCACAAUGGGCGAAAGCCUGAUGCAGCCAUGCCGCGUGUGUGAAGAAGGCCUUCGGGUUGUAAAGCACUUUCAGCGAGGAGGAAAGGUUGUGUGUUAAUAGCACAUAGCUGUGACGUUACUCGCAGAAGAAGCACCGGCUAACUUCGUGCCAGCAGCCGCGGUAAUACGAGGGGUGCAA